RNAcentral lists this ribosomal RNA (468 nucleotides) under uncultured bacterium. RNAcentral describes it as "partial 16S ribosomal RNA". It matches the Rfam family "Bacterial small subunit ribosomal RNA", at positions 28 to 507 of the family's 1533-position model. The record is from RNAcentral.
GACGAACGCUGGCGGCGUGCUUAACACAUGCAAGUCGAACGGAAAGGCCCUGCUUUUGUGGGGUGCUCGAGUGGCGAACGGGUGAGUAACACGUGAGUAACCUGCCCUUGACUUUGGGAUAACUUCAGGAAACUGGGGCUAAUCCCGUAUCGGAUCUCCUGCUGCAUGGUGGGGGUUGGAACGUUUCGGCGGUUGGGGAUGGAAUCGCGGCUUUUCAGCUUGUUGGUGGGGUAGUGGCUUACCAAGGCUUUGACGGGUAGCCGGCCUGAGAGGGUGACCGGCGACAUUGGGACUGAGAUACGGCCCAGACUCCUACGGGAGGCAGCAGUGGGGAAUAUUGCACAAUGGGCGGAAGCCUGAUGCAGAAACGCCGCGUGCGGGAUGACGGCCUUCGGGUUGUAAACCGCUUUCGCCUGUGACGAAGCGUGAGUGACGGUAAUGGGUAAAGAAGCACCGGCUAACUACGUG